Sarcophilus harrisii (Tasmanian devil) is the source of this 1517-nucleotide long non-coding RNA. RefSeq lists it as uncharacterized. Lineage: Eukaryota; Metazoa; Chordata; Mammalia; Dasyuromorphia; Dasyuridae. The transcript has 3 exons. The record is from RefSeq and is a predicted model, not a curated record.
CUUCUAGAAAUGUUUUUCUGUGACCUGGGGCCAAUAGGCAGAGGUCCUGGAUGUGUUCUUAUCUCUGCACAUUCUACUGUUACUCCCUUGGAGAUGUCUCUGACAUUUUAAGUUUCUGACAUGGGCCUGAAGUGAAUAUUCCUGUUUCUUGAAAGUGAGGGAGGCCAUGAAAAUAUGUCCCCUGGAUGUAAAGCAAAGGAGUUGGUUCUUCUGAUCUUGGGGAUAUUCUUUGCCUUUUCUGAACAGCAGUUUUUCCUCUGUUAAUGUGGGUGUGGGGGAGGAGGGUUGGGCCCAAAUGGGUCUCUAAGGCCCCUUCCAGCUCUUCUGUGUUACCUAGAGAAAAGACCCCAUAGCUGACCCCAAGGGCAGAAAGUCCCCUCACAGAUCAGAGCUCACUUGCAGUAAUGUGAUCACUGGAUUGGAGCCAUGUUUUAGCAUUGAGGGCCUUGCUAAGCUUCAGAGUAUCCAGAGGAAGUCAGCCAUCAGAGGCAGGACCUUGGGCCUCUAGCCUCAUAGAUGAAGGAGCAGGAUGUUUUUACUUUGGAGAAGACCUGUGGAGACACAGCUACUUCAGAUUUGAGAGCUUAGGACCCAGAAAAGGAAUGUCUUUUCUCCUUGUGUCCUGAGGGCAGAUCUGGAAGCAAUAGAGGGUGGUGAGAGGGGAACACUAAAACUUGAUGUCAGGACAAAGUUGUUUUCAGGGGGAAGAUUCUUUGUCUGAGAAGACUUAUUCCUUGACUCUUCCCUUCAGGAACACAAGAAAAAUGGCUGAUAUAAUAUAUAAAAUAAAUUGGUUCUGGCAGAACAAGAAAAUAGAACAGCAUAAACGGAUCCUUCUGCAGAACUUUCAGGGCAGUAAAGGAAGAUCAGGGUUUAGGAGAUGUAUCAACACUGGCAAUGACAAGCAAUGAUCCCACCCAUCCGUUUGUAUGUACAGAGCAAAGAGAACUCCACUCCCAAGAGCGCACUUCAAGUCCUGCCCAGCCAUGGAAAACACACAUUCCCUUCAUAGAGCAUCUCUAUAAGUUUGUAAACUGGAUUUCUAUCCUUGUUGGAACCUUGGUGGAGAGCAGCAAGCCAUUCUCCAAGUCAGGGAUUGCUGGGUUCAAAGCCUGCUUUUGAACCCUAUUGUCUCUGGAUCACUGAGGAUUGGAUCUAGGCCCUGGGAUGCUCCCCUCAGAAUCAUUGUGAGGUGUCCAAAGUGCUAACCAUUUGUCUUCUCCAGCCAGUGGAAGAAGAUGGUGACCUCAGCCUUCUGUACCCCAAGGGGAUGCAUGGAGCCCCGAGUCCAUUUGAGUCCUGCUGAGUAGGAACCUCCCCUGAUACCCAGAUUAUAAAGGACAUCAAAUAGAGACCCUGCUAUCUACAACAGUAUGAACAAUUGUUUAUGCAAGGCUGCUUUCAGAGAACCGGGGUGCUGUAUCAGAAAGGACGCUUUUAUUGAAAAAUUUGUUCUGGUCUAGCCAGGAAGCCAAUGAAAAAAGGCAAUGUGACUCCGUUCCCUGCGUAUUUUAUAA